RNAcentral lists this ribosomal RNA (253 nucleotides) under uncultured bacterium. Its description in RNAcentral is "partial 16S ribosomal RNA". It matches the Rfam family "Bacterial small subunit ribosomal RNA", at positions 524 to 776 of the family's 1533-position model. The record is from RNAcentral.
GACAGAGGGUGCAAACGUUGUUCGGAAUUACUGGGCGUAAAGCGCGUGUAGGCGGCAGUGCAAGUCGGUUGUGAAAUCCCACGGCUCAACCGUGGAAGUGCACUCGAAACUGCGUAGCUAGAGUCCUGGAGAGGAAGGUGGAAUGCUUGGUGGAGAGGUGAAAUGCGUAGAUAUCGAGCGGAACACCGGAGGCGAAGGCGGCCAGCUGGACAGGGACUGACGCUGAGAUGCGAAAGCGUGGGGAGCAAACAGG